Mustela lutreola (European mink) is the source of this 521-nucleotide long non-coding RNA. RefSeq lists it as uncharacterized. Lineage: Eukaryota; Metazoa; Chordata; Mammalia; Carnivora; Mustelidae. The transcript has 2 exons. The record is from RefSeq and is a predicted model, not a curated record.
UCGAUGUAACAAUUCAGAUGGGGGGCUGAGGUGGUGGGACAAUGGAAAGAAAGGAAUUAAAGAUGGUCAAGAUCUUUUGUGUUCUGGCUUGGUGUGUGUUUUUUUUUUUUGUUUUGUUUUCAAUUUUUUAUUCAAGUAUAAUUAACAAAUCCUAUUAUAUUAGUUUCAGAUCUAUAAUUAUAAUGAUUCAACAAUUCUAUACAUGACUCAAUGCUCAGAGGUGACCAAGAGCUUAAGCUUAAGUGACUUGGGAGAAGAUGUGCUUCAUGCAAAUGUGGAAACAAGGAAGUAGAGCCCGUUUAAAGCAGGGACACCACAGACUCUGGAUCUACUAUUACGUCUUGUCGUCCUCCAGAUGUACACUUUUACGUAAGGCUGGCAGUUACCUCCAAGCUUCUAGAAGUCUGCAGCCUGGAAAGUCAUUACCGGGACUAGUCGUAAAAGCUAAUGUGGGUGCUUAUUACUGAGCCGUUGGGUCUAUUUUGGAGAACUCGGAGAAUAAAAAGAUUAGCUGCCUUCAA